RNAcentral lists this transfer RNA (76 nucleotides) under Alishewanella phage vB_AspM_Slicko01. RNAcentral describes it as "tRNA-Asn". It matches the Rfam family "tRNA". From Rfam's summary of the family: Transfer RNA (tRNA) molecules are approximately 80 nucleotides in length. Their secondary structure includes four short double-helical elements and three loops (D, anti-codon, and T loops). The record is from RNAcentral. Lineage: Duplodnaviria; Heunggongvirae; Uroviricota; Caudoviricetes.
GGGGAAUUAGCUCAGUUGGUAGAGCAACGGACUGUUAAUCCGUAGGUCGUUGGUUCAAGUCCAGCAUUCCCCGCCA